CGCGCCUCAAUUUCAUAUCGAUUGCACUACACUUCCAAAAGAAUUGGUUGUGCGGUUCUUGUUUUCAUCAAAAGCAUUCUUUACGUUUAUCGCGAUUUCUGAGUUCUGCUAUGGCCGCUGAUUCCUCUGUAAUGUUCAAUGGAAAUGGAAAUCGGAGCAUCAACCCAAUGCCUAACCUACAGAGAACUUACCAAGUGGUUGUGGCGGCCACCAAAGAUAUGGGCAUUGGUAAGGAUGGAAAGUUGCCAUGGAGAUUACCUACUGAUCUCAAGUUUUUCAAACAAUGCCUAACCUACAGAGAACUUACCAAGUGGUUGUGGCGGCCACCAAAGAUAUGGGCAUUGGUAAGGAUGGAAAGUUGCCAUGGAGAUUACCUACUGAUCUCAAGUUUUUCAAGGAGAUAACUA
Molecule: long non-coding RNA, 407 nt
Filed under: Lathyrus oleraceus (garden pea)
Lineage: Eukaryota; Viridiplantae; Streptophyta; Magnoliopsida; Fabales; Fabaceae
Description: Pisum sativum (pea) long non-coding RNA (PSAT_LNC031242)
Source: RNAcentral